This 476-nucleotide ribosomal RNA is filed under the name uncultured bacterium. RNAcentral's name for it is "partial 16S ribosomal RNA". It matches the Rfam family "Bacterial small subunit ribosomal RNA", at positions 28 to 523 of the family's 1533-position model. The record is from RNAcentral.
GAUGAACGCUGGCGGCGUGCUUAACACAUGCAAGUCGAGCGAGUGAGUUCUUUGGAACGAUCUAGCGGCGGACGGGUGAGUAACACGUGGGCAACCUGCCUCAUAGAGGGGAAUAGCCUCCCGAAAGGGAGAUUAAUACCGCAUAAAAUUAUCGAGUGGCAUCACAUGAUAAUCAAAGGAGCAAUCCGCUAUGAGAUGGGCCCGCGGCGCAUUAGCUAGUUGGUGAGGUAACGGCUCACCAAGGCGACGAUGCGUAGCCGACCUGAGAGGGUGAUCGGCCACAUUGGGACUGAGACACGGCCCAGACUCCUACGGGAGGCAGCAGUGGGGAAUAUUGCACAAUGGGGGAAACCCUGAUGCAGCAACGCCGCGUGAGUGAUGAAGGUCUUCGGAUUGUAAAGCUCUGUCUUUGGGGACGAUAAUGACGGUACCCAAGGAGGAAGCCACGGCUAACUACGUGCCAGCAGCCGCCGUAA